CCAGACUCCUACGGGAGGCAGCAGUGGGGAAUAUUGCGCAAUGGGCGAAAGCCUGACGCAGCGACGCCGCGUGUGGGAAGACGGUCCUCUGGAUUGUAAACCACUGUCCCCAGGGACGAAGAUGACGGUACCUGGGGAGGAAGCUCCGGCUAACUACGUGCCAGCAGCCGCGGUAAUACGUAGGGAGCGAGCGUUGUCCGGAAUUACUGGGUGUAAAGGGAGCGUAGGCGGGACUGCAAGUUGGGUGUCAAAUCUACCGGCUCAACCGGUAGCCGCACUCAAAACUGCAGUUCUUGAGUGAAGUAGAGGCAGGCGGAAUUCCUAGUGUAGCGGUGAAAUGCGUAGAUAUUAGGAGGAACACCAGUGGCGAAGGCGGCCUGCUGGGCUUUUACUGACGCUGAGGAGCGAAAGCGUGGGGAGCGAACAGGAUUAGAUACCCGUGUA
RNAcentral lists this ribosomal RNA (444 nucleotides) under uncultured bacterium. RNAcentral describes it as "bacterial SSU rRNA". It matches the Rfam family "Bacterial small subunit ribosomal RNA", at positions 331 to 792 of the family's 1533-position model. The record is from RNAcentral.